UGGGGAAUAUUGGACAAUGGGCGCAAGCCUGAUCCAGCCAUGCCGCGUGAGUGAUGAAGGUCCUAGGGUUGUAAAGCUCUUUCACCGGUGAAGAUAAUGACGGUAACCGGAGAAGAAGCCCCGGCUAACUUCGUGCCAGCAGCCGCGGUAAUACGAAGGGGGCUAGCGUUGUUCGGAUUUACUGGGCGUAAAGCGCACGUAGGCGGACUAUUAAGUCAGGGGUGAAAUCCCGGGGCUCAACCCCGGAACUGCCUUUGAUACUGGUAGUCUUGAGUUCGAGAGAGGUGAGUGGAAUUCCGAGUGUAGAAGUGAAAUUCGUAGAUAUUCGGAGGAACACCAGUGGCGAAGGCGGCUCACUGGCUCGAUACUGACGCUGAGGUGCGAAAGCGUGGGGAGCAAACAGG
This 404-nucleotide ribosomal RNA is filed under the name Actinomycetes bacterium. Its description in RNAcentral is "Actinobacteria bacterium partial 16S ribosomal RNA". It matches the Rfam family "Bacterial small subunit ribosomal RNA", at positions 355 to 776 of the family's 1533-position model. Lineage: Bacteria; Bacillati; Actinomycetota; Actinomycetes. The record is from RNAcentral.